This 1656-nucleotide long non-coding RNA is filed under the name Rattus norvegicus (Norway rat). RNAcentral describes it as "long non-coding RNA NONRATT000203". The record is from RNAcentral. Lineage: Eukaryota; Metazoa; Chordata; Mammalia; Rodentia; Muridae.
UUCGUUUUUGAGCCUUUUGCCUACAUUUCUGUGAUUGGGUCAUUUUCGGUCUCAUAAAGUUAAUAGUCAGUUGAUGUUUCCCGUGUUGUUUAGCUAGCUGCUCCUAUUAGUGUUGAGUUGGCCUCUCUAGGCCUGGCAGCCCCAUCCUGUCUGUGCCCCGCCCCCUCUUAGUGUCUUGUAGAGCUCAUCCUAGGCGGCUUUACCUUUACCCACUUCAGGAACAGCCUAGACAACUACAUGGGAAGAAUGGCAGAAACAAACACUGUAACCUGAAGAGAGAGAGAGAGAAUAUGAGAGAGAGAGAAUAUGAGAGAGAGAGAAUAUGAGAGAGAGAGAAUAUGAGAGAGAGUGUGUGGGUGUGGGUGGGUGGGUGGUGAAUUUAUAGCAGAUUUAGAUCCUUCAUUCUACCGUGCUUCACUUGCCUGUGCUCUGUAAAGGGACCUCUUCCUCAGCACUUAAAUCCAUUGUUGUGUCAAAUGGACAGUUACCUUGUCUGGGGAAAAAACUCUUAAGAUGAUCCAGAACAAACCAAAAAAAAAAAACCUUCUUAGAAUGAAUUUUGCUUUUGUAAGUAAUGGUUUAUGUUUUGAAAUGUGGUUUAGAAUCCUUAAAAUUAAGGGCUGAAAAUUAACUUUCUGAAAGAAUAUUGUUAAAAUACUAUUCUGUGCAUAUCUGAAGCUCAAAACAGUGAGACUGGUUUAUCUCUGAUCACUUUUGGUCCUGUACACACAGAAUAUCUCUGAUAAGAGAAGGAGACCGCAUCAUAUUGGGUAGACAGGUUCCCAUUGCUAUAACAAAUAUGCUUAGUGCUCCACGAGUGUUUUCAGAGGCUGCUGCUGCUACACAAAAGCCCCAGUGGUAAUUUGUUACAACUGUUGAUGAAGAACUCGUGUGUCGUUAAAUAUUCUCUGAAGACUUGUGCAUUCGGUCUCAUCCUGUUUUCAGUGAGGGCACUUGAUGUAAAUAUGUAAAUAUGUCUCAUUGCUACCAUUCCUAUUGAAUAUAUUGCUCAAAGAGAGUCCCACGUACAGAUAGAGUGGUAUGCCACAUUUUUAUAUAAGUACAGUAAUAAUAGACAGCCGAACGAUAGAUAGGAAUGUUCUAGUGUCACUUUCUUAGUUGACGCUCUUUGGUAAAAUGAUUAUCAAUAGACUGGCAAUAUUAAUGUACUUAGUAAAGUAGUUUUCUUUUUCUUUAGGCAAAAUAUAUAGGAAAACAUGUGAAAAUUAUAUUCACUUCAUUGUACAUGCCUAUGUGAGGGAGUUGUUGGAAUGCCCUGUUCACUAAAAAGAGAGAGAGAUGAUGAUGAUGUUUGUGUGCACACGAGCGGUGUCUGGUUAAGUUGAUGGGUAUAAAGGAUAUGGUUGCAUGUGUAUGGGUGUGCAUGCUGUUUGCUCGUGUGCCUGGAAUGGGAUGCCUGACUACUCCUUGAUGACAGCUAAGUGUUAAUAUCAUUCUCAACCUCUGAGUUCUUUGGUGGAAUGAAACACGUUGCCAAAGUUAUCAGUUAAGUAAAGCUUAUUUUCUGAAAACCUCUUAGUCUCCCACAUUUUUAAAGUAUAUAGGGUAAUGUGCUUAAUCACAUUUAAUCGUAUUUUUGUCACAAAUCAUUUAAUACGCUUACCAUGGAAAUAACCCAUUUUAUGGACAUAUCAG